This 456-nucleotide ribosomal RNA is filed under the name uncultured Acidobacteriaceae bacterium. RNAcentral's name for it is "bacterial SSU rRNA". It matches the Rfam family "Bacterial small subunit ribosomal RNA", at positions 926 to 1382 of the family's 1533-position model. The record is from RNAcentral. Lineage: Bacteria; Pseudomonadati; Acidobacteriota; Terriglobia; Terriglobales; Acidobacteriaceae.
CAAGCGGUGGAGCAUGUGGUUUUAAUUCGACGCAACGCGAAGAACCUUACCAGCUCUUGUACAUGUCAGGUCGGUUUCCAGAGAUGGAUUCCUCCCAGCAAUGGGCCUGAACACAGGUGCUGCAUGGCUGUCGUCAGCUCGUGUCGUGAGAUGUUGGGUUAAGUCCCGCAACGAGCGCAACCCUUGUCCUGUGUUGCUAAUCUUCGGAUGCACUCUCAGGAGACCGCCAGCGACAAGCUGGAGGAAGGUGGGGAUGACGUCAAGUCAGCAUGGCCUUUAUGUCCAGGGCUACACACGUGCUACAAUGGGCAGGACAAACCGUUGCAAACCCGCGAGGGGAGCUAAUCGGAGAAACCUGUUCUCAGUUCGGAUUGCAGGCUGCAACUCGCCUGCAUGAAGCUGGAAUCGCUAGUAAUCGAGGAUCAGCAUGCCUCGGUGAAUACGUUCCCGGGCCUU